CCUACGGGAGGCAGCAGUGGGGAAUAUUGGGCAAUGGGCGCAAGCCUGACCCAGCAACGCCGCGUGAAGGAAGAAGGCUUUCGGGUUGUAAACUUCUUUUAUUGAGGACGAAACAAAUGACGGUACUCAAUGAAUAAGCCACGGCUAACUACGUGCCAGCAGCCGCGGUAAUACGUAGGUGGCAAGCGUUAUCCGGAUUUACUGGGGGUAAAGGGCGUGUAGGCGGGACUGCAAGUCAGAUGUGAAACCCAUGGGCUCAACCCAUGGCCUGCAUUUGAAACUGUAGUUCUUGAGUGAAGGGGGGGCAGGCGGAAUUCCGGGGGUAGCGGGGAAAUGCGGAGAUAAUAGGAGGAAAACCAGUGGCGAAGGCGGCCUGCUGGACAUUAAAUGACGGUGAGGCGCGAAAGGGUGGGGAGCAAACAGGAGUAGAUACCCCUGUAGUC
This 443-nucleotide ribosomal RNA is filed under the name uncultured bacterium. RNAcentral describes it as "partial 16S ribosomal RNA". It matches the Rfam family "Bacterial small subunit ribosomal RNA", at positions 338 to 795 of the family's 1533-position model. The record is from RNAcentral.